This is a long non-coding RNA of Alexandromys fortis (reed vole), 1828 nucleotides long. RefSeq lists it as uncharacterized. The transcript is spliced from 4 exons. Lineage: Eukaryota; Metazoa; Chordata; Mammalia; Rodentia; Cricetidae. The record is from RefSeq and is a predicted model, not a curated record.
UGUCCCACUCCACUUGAAUCAUUCCGGUCCAGAGUGUCCGCUCUGUGCACGUCCUGUCUUCAGUCACCUGGGAGCCAGCCUGGCUAGCACACCACCUGGUACAGCACAACAAUGCUUUUGUCCAGCGGUAACCAAAAGCCCUUAACAAAAGCCCAGAAGGACAAGAGUAGCGUGAUGCUGCCAACUUGGGAAGGCUAAAGAAGGCACACUGCACUUCUUGGAUGUCCAGAUCCUUAAGUCUAGGACCUACUACUAUAAUCCAAGGAUGUGAAGAUCUGCUCCUGGCAGUACCAAUCUACUUCAGAGAAGAUGAUGGACAUCAAAGAAACUUCACAUGGAGUUUACUGUCUUUGUGGCAAAAAAUACAGUGACACCAGUGAACUCUACUUCAUCACCAGCAUCUUCCUCUAUAAGUCUCCUCAUCCCUACCUACCUCUCCUCAUCAGGCCAGAAGCUUGCAAACUACUAAUUAGGUAAGUUCACUCUGUUUCGCUAUGCUAUCUACAACUUUUAAAGCCCAGGAAAACCUCCAGCACCACUUUCCUUCCCCAAUCUGUAAGUCACACCUGACUCCUUUUGAAGUCCCUCUAGAACAUUCUCCAAGCCCCCUUCCCAAUCACUUCUGAAUUGCCUUCCAGAUUUUAGAUAGAACAGGACCUGUUACCACUAACAGGUCAAUAAACAGACCUGAACCAACAUAAAUCUCUCCCUCUCCCCCUGGAGAAAGGGUCUUCCUAUGUAAUCCUGGAUGUACUGGAACCUUCUAUGACGAUCAGGCUGGUCUCAAACUCACAGGGAUCCUGUUGCCUAUGUCCUGAGGACAUAUGCCACCAUGUUAGGCUUUCGUUUUAUUUUGUAACUUAUAUAAGUUCAAGACAGCAGACACUAUCAAGUCUUUCUAUAGCUAAUAUUAUAUAAUUGAUCAUCAGGUAAUCUUUUGGUCAUUUUUGUUAAUAGUGGCAAAAUAUACUUAACCCAACAGUUGCCUUUGUAACCAGUUUUAAGUACAAUUCAGUGGUAUAGAAACAGUAGUCAUUGUGGAAACAUCACCACUGUCCAUCUCCAGAAUUUUUUGUCAUCAAAUACUGAAACUCUAUACCCAUUGCUCUUUAAGAAUUCCCCAAUUCCUCCCUCCAAGGAAUGUAACUACUUUUCUACUUUCUGUCAAUUAUUUUUAACCAAUUAGUUUUAAUAGAUGAUCACUCUUCUGGCUGUCUCACUUAAACAAUAUAAGCUAAUGUUUAUUAACUUUAAGUGUCGGGUCCUCCAUGCUCUGCUUUAGGAGUUACACAUGUAAUUAACGUAACCUUAACAACCAUUCUAGCAGCAGGCAGUGUGAUUUCUCCAUUUGUUACAUGAUGAAAUGGGUACAAAGAGCUCAUGUAACCUGCCAAAGAUCACACAGCUGGUGAAUCACACAGCCAAGAAUCACCUCCAUGAAGCCUCUCUAAAAGACCCAUGUUUACACUGCGUUCACAGGUACUAUACAGUAAUUUCAGUAACUUGGUACCUUGUUUUGUUGUCAAAUGGUAAAUCACAUAUAAGCAAAAUCUUUGUUAGUUUACAACAAUUAUAAUACAUUCUAAGUACCUCACACUGCUAUACUGAUUAUUCAGAAAAUUCACUUUUCCAAAUGAAUAGCAUAUUAACAAUGGAAACAAAGCUACUCACAAAUAGAAAGUAAGUUCCAUCAUAAGACAAGUUUUACCAGACUACACAAACUGGAUCCUUGGCCUACUCCCCAAGAAUAGGUGGGAGACACUCUAAUCAAGAGACAAAGAGUUUCCUAAGAAUGGACAGGUUCUAAAGACGUUUCUCAAGACCUUGA